AUUGAACGCUGGCGGCAUGCUUUACACAUGCAAGUCGAACGGUAACAGGCCGCAAGGUGCUGACGAGUGGCGAACGGGUGAGUAAUGCAUCGGAACGUGCCCAGUCGUGGGGGAUAACUACUCGAAAGAGUAGCUAAUACCGCAUACGAUCUAUGGAUGAAAGCGGGGGACCGUAAGGCCUCGCGCGAUUGGAGCGGCCGAUGUCAGAUUAGGUAGUUGGUGGGGUAAAGGCUCACCAAGCCAACGAUCUGUAGCUGGUCUGAGAGGACGACCAGCCACGCUGGAACUGAGACACGGCCCAGACUCCUACGGGAGGCAGCAGUGGGGAAUUUUGGACAAUGGGCGCAAGCCUGAUCCAGCAAUGCCGCGUGCAGGAAGAAGGCCUUCGGGUUGUAAACUGCUUUUGUACGGAACGAAACGGCUCUGGUUAAUACCCGGGGCUAAUGACGGUACCGUAAGAAUAAGCACCGGCUAACUACGUG
RNAcentral lists this ribosomal RNA (482 nucleotides) under uncultured bacterium. Its description in RNAcentral is "partial 16S ribosomal RNA". It matches the Rfam family "Bacterial small subunit ribosomal RNA", at positions 30 to 507 of the family's 1533-position model. The record is from RNAcentral.